RNAcentral lists this long non-coding RNA (405 nucleotides) under Salmo salar (Atlantic salmon). RNAcentral's name for it is "lncRNA (ENSSSAG00000102761.1, ENSSSAG00020083937.1, ENSSSAG00075004539.1)". The record is from RNAcentral. Lineage: Eukaryota; Metazoa; Chordata; Actinopteri; Salmoniformes; Salmonidae.
GGUAACGUGCUCUCUCCAAUACAAUCCAACAUUGCGGAGUUUUGAGCAUCCUUUCAAGCACACCCUACUCAUUAACCUGUGUUGAAACCGGGAUUCAUCCGUGAAGAGCACACUUCUCCAGUGUGCCAGUGUCCAUCGGAGGUGAGCAUUUACCCACUGAAGUCGGUCGCGACGCCGAACUGCAGUCAGGUCAAGAACCUGGUGAAGACGACGAGCAUGCAGAGCAUUGUACCUAAGGAGGACUUGGAAGACCAGCAUGACUAGGUGGCAGAAGAGGAGGGACAGGCAGGGUGAGAACAGACAGGCAAGACCUUCACUGGGAAGCGGUCAGUGAUUGAGGAAGGGGAGCCAAGAGAGUUGUUCUCUGCGCAGCUGACAGAGACAGGAGAAACAGGAGUCCAUUCU